AAAAAGACAAACCCUGGGUUUCCGUGUCCAACGUUUGACCGUCCGUCUUAUUUAAAAAAAUUAUGAAAAAAAUUAAAAAGACAAGUCUCACGCAUAAAGUAUUAAUCAUGUUUUAUCAUCUAACAACAAUGAAAAUACUAAUUAUAAAAAAAAUUUCAUAUAAGACGGAUAGUCAAAGUUGGACACGGAAAUCUAGGGUUUGUCUUUUU
Oryza sativa Japonica Group (Japanese rice) is the source of this 209-nucleotide microRNA precursor. It matches the Rfam family "MIR812 microRNA precursor family". NCBI's taxonomy places the organism in Eukaryota, Viridiplantae, Streptophyta, Magnoliopsida, Poales, Poaceae. The record is from Rfam.